CCUACGGGUGGCAGCAGUGAGGAAUAUUGGUCAAUGGGAGAGAUCCUGAACCAGCCAAGCCGCGUGAGGGAAGACGGCCCUAUGGGUUGUAAACCUCUUUUGUCGGAGAACAAAACCCGGGACGUGUCCCGGACUGCGUGUAUCCGAAGAAAAAGCAUCGGCUAACUCCGUGCCAGCAGCCGCGGUAAUACGGAGGAUGCGAGCGUUAUCCGGAUUUACUGGGCGUAAAGGGAGCGUAGGCGGCCUGCCAAGUCUGAUGUGAAAUACCGGGGCUCAACCCCGGGGCUGCAUUGGAAACUGGCAGGCUGGAGUGCCGGAGAGGCAGGCGGAAUUCCUAGUGUAGCGGUGAAAUGCGUAGAUAUUAGGAGGAACACCAGUGGCGAAGGCGGCCUGCUGGACGGUGACUGACGCUGAGGCUCGAAAGCGUGGGGAGCAAACAGGAUUAGAUACCCUUGUAGUC
RNAcentral lists this ribosomal RNA (460 nucleotides) under uncultured bacterium. RNAcentral describes it as "partial 16S ribosomal RNA". It matches the Rfam family "Bacterial small subunit ribosomal RNA", at positions 338 to 795 of the family's 1533-position model. The record is from RNAcentral.